CCUCAACACCUCCACACUCCACAGACACACAAACGGAAGCCAGGACGAAGCCACCAUGGCGCUGGUCGUACGCGCCUCCGGUGGAGGUGGCGGCGUUCGCCUGAUCUUCUCCGAGCUACUUCGGCGACUGCUAGGGAUGCGCUCGCGUCGCAUCGCCACUUCCAGCCCGUCCGGUUCCCCCUCCAGCGACGAAGACGACGACACCUCGCCGUUGAUCAAGCGGAUUCCGCGCAACAUCUCCUCGAUAUCCAAUUUCCUCUCUCUGGACGGCCGCGAUUCGAGCUCCGCGCACAUGUCGGGGGCGAUGCCUCUGCCAUUCGGCCAUCCCGACUGGCCCCGCCUGCCCACCACCUGUUCGAUGUCAGAACUGCACGGCCGGAGAGCGCCAAACAGGACCUGGAGAUGGUGACCAGCACCCGGCAAGUCACACGGUUGCCUAGGGAGCAUGAGCAUGUGAUGCCUCCGGUGGCCCUGGUGAACACUACGUCCGGUCAGCCUCCCAUCCUGCGCAUCCCGCUGACUGAUAGGCUGGUAGCCUCGUUCCUGGCACAGGCGGUGGGAGUUCAGGUUGAUGGUACCCAGGCCCGGGCCCAUGGUAGUGCAACCAGUGCUGCCCGCACAGGGCCCCCAGUUUUUAGGGGCCCCAAAUUUUCAGGCGUGGCCUAUUUACCAUGAGCCAGAGCAAGGCACCCAGCCUAAUUAGCAUUUGGUUCCAUCGGCUGGGUCCUGCACAGGUGGGCUUGUGGUCCAGCGCAUGGUUUGACUGAGCGACUGGCGAACAGUUUCUUCUUCCGGCGGCGGCGAUCGCGGCUGAUUGAUCCCUCUGGCUUGCCGAUGGAUCAGCUGAUUAAUUCUUUUACCGCAGCACUUGGAAUCCAAGAUGCCCUUAAAAAGGAAACUAGGAUUCUAAGAAGGCAGGAAACGGCCACCCUGUAACUGUAAGGCCUUUGUCCACUUGACCGGAGGACCAACCCAAUUGAUGAAAGUGUUCAGGGGCCUGCUUCUGGCGAAUGUCUUCUUUGCAUUGCCUUUGAUUGUGAUAUUUUUCCCAAGAUAUAACGAGGAGUCAAAGAAUGUUCUUCUCAGUUUGUUUGACAGAAAGGAAGUCAGUAACGAGAAAAUGAUCGUGUUAGCACUCUUUGUAAUUCACGCAAGUCUUGGUUCACUGGGUGUUCUCCUAGCUCACAUAGCAGAUGGUCCAGUGUGCACUGGGAUAGUAGGCUCACUUACUCCGUGGAUUAUCAUUUCUGUUGUGGGAUUCAUUGACUACAUAUUCUUGAAGACUCUUCCAGAUGAGGGCACUUACAAGAUUGUCUUUCUGGCGCAUUUCAUUGUGGUGCUACUAGUGAUAUGUAGUCUUUGGGCUAAAUUUGUUGGGUUUUCACAGUGCUGCAGCUCCAAGCAGGAUCAGAGUCUGCCUCUUUGACAUGCUUACUGGACACCUUUCAGCGGUAGUUGACUGAUCAUAAGCUUACUCGAUCAGACUGUCUUGGAUCGUCUACAUUACUCUGCCCUGUGAAUUUGUAGAGCCUAUUUGCCAGCUACAUGUGGAUAGCUAGUCAUAUGCGUUACAAAAGAACUGACAGUAAGUAGUUUCCAGUUUCCCUGCGGUCGAUGGUCGUUUCGCCAUCUGCGGCAACUGUACAGUCAACAAGGAGGCAAUUAUUUUUGGUGUGGCUUGUGAAAUGGAUUGGUAGCGAGCUGCAUGGUUAAACUUUGUUCACAAGUACAAUCAAUGCUUGCAAUUUGUUAUCUCGUACACAAUCUGGUAUUGCAAGGUCUGAUUCAGAGUAGGAUGUCCUUGAAACUGAUUCUGAUGUAUAUUCAAUUUGCAGUUCUAUUCCUGUUUCAA
Long non-coding RNA from Triticum aestivum (bread wheat), 1852 nucleotides. RefSeq lists it as uncharacterized. NCBI's taxonomy places the organism in Eukaryota, Viridiplantae, Streptophyta, Magnoliopsida, Poales, Poaceae. The transcript has 4 exons. The record is from RefSeq and is a predicted model, not a curated record.